AAUAGUUUUAUGCCAUAUUAAUAUUUUUAUCUUAAAUUUUAGUAUUUUCAUCUUAAAAAAAAUUAAAUCCAAAUUAAAAUCCUGAAAUUGAGGAUAAAAUCAUUGAUGUGACAUAAAACUAUU
RNAcentral lists this microRNA precursor (123 nucleotides) under Gossypium arboreum. RNAcentral's name for it is "MIR7504 microRNA precursor family". It matches the Rfam family "MIR7504 microRNA precursor family". The record is from Rfam by way of RNAcentral. Lineage: Eukaryota; Viridiplantae; Streptophyta; Magnoliopsida; Malvales; Malvaceae.